This 1072-nucleotide long non-coding RNA is filed under the name Homo sapiens (human). RNAcentral describes it as "HSALNT0285950". Lineage: Eukaryota; Metazoa; Chordata; Mammalia; Primates; Hominidae. The record is from RNAcentral.
GUUUUAUCCGGGGUUUCCGCUUUUGCGUCUUCGUCAUUUUUCUCUUGCUACCACCAUUUGAGAAGUGCCUUUCGCCUCCUGCCAUGAUUCUGAGGUCCUCCCAAGCUAUGGGGAACUGUAAAUACAAUUAAACCUCUUUUUCUUCCCAGUCUCCGGUAUGUCUUUAUCAGCAGCAUGUAAAGGGACUAAUCCAGAGAGCCCCACCUGGAAGACUCUAGGUUCUCAUCUUCAUGCCCCGAUGUAAGGAGAGUGGUCCUUCUGUACAUCAGGAGUCUGAAAUGCAUCUCACUGGGCUAAAAUCAAGAUCUGUGGCACAUGGAACCACAUGUGGGACAAGAGACUAAUAAAGAUGUGACCUACUCACAGAGGCUUCAGGUGUUUUGCGAAGUACAUUGGCUUUUAUUCAACGUGCAGUGGGACUCCAACUAAAGUGUUUCAGGAAGGCACGGCCCUUUUGUGAUCUCCUGGUUCUUGUAAAUCUCACUGUGGCUGAUGAGGUCUGGAUAGAUAAUCAUGAUGGUGGCUGAAGAGAGACAAUGGUGGUGCUAGGUUACCAGUGGCGUGGAGCUCAGAGCUAAUGCAGAGCAGCUGGAGCAGUGCUGAGUUUCAAAACGUGUUGGAAAAAAUAUUAUAUGAAUGAUGCUAUUUUUUUCACUGAAUCACAUCAAGAAGCACAUGAUGUUAAGCUGUCUCAUCAUUGGUGGUGUUAACUUGGAUCGCUUGAUUAAGCCCGAGAACUACUCACUCUGGGUCUCCUCUCCACUGAGGGCUGCACACAUGCCGGGAUGACCUGCCUGUGGAAAGGAGCUACAACUUCAGGUCUCCUGAGAGCUGUAGGUUCUCCAGUCAGCAGACACUGAAAUGCCUACAUGACUAAGAGAUUUUUGUGGGGGUAAUAAGGGUGCCUGUUGAAAGCAAAGGGGAGAAAGCAGAAUUGGGCAGGAAAAGCCUUCAGACUUCCAGGUAUAUCUAUGAAAGUCUAGGCCAACCCAGUGGGGAGAUUUGAAGCUGGGAUUUACCAUUUGAGAGACCCUGUGUUGGGCAGAAAUAGUUAAGGUGCCGUAAAUGGAAG